AGAGUUUGAUCCUGGCUCAGAACGAACGCUGGCGGCAUGCCUAACACAUGCAAGUCGAACGAUCCCUUCGGGGAUAGUGGCGCACGGGUGCGUAACGCGUGGGAAUCUGCCCUUGGGUUCGGAAUAACAGUGAGAAAUUACUGCUAAUACCGGAUGAUGUCUUCGGACCAAAGAUUUAUCGCCCAAGGAUGAGCCCGCGUAGGAUUAGCUAGUUGGUGGGGUAAUGGCCUACCAAGGCGACGAUCCUUAGCUGGUCUGAGAGGAUGAUCAGCCACACUGGGACUGAGACACGGCCCAGACUCCUACGGGAGGCAGCAGUGGGGAAUAUUGGACAAUGGGCGCAAGCCUGAUCCAGCAAUGCCGCGUGAGUGAUGAAGGCCUUAGGGUUGUAAAGCUCUUUUACCCGGGAUGAUAAUGACAGUACCGGGAGAAUAAGCUCCGGCUAACUCCGUGCCAGCAGCCGCGGUAAUACGGAGGGAGCUAGCGUUGUUCGGAAUUACUGGGCGUAAAGCGCGCGUAGGCGGUUACUCAAGUCAGAGGUGAAAGCCCGGGGCUCAACCCCGGAACUGCCUUUGAAACUAGGUGACUAGA
This 591-nucleotide ribosomal RNA is filed under the name uncultured Alphaproteobacteria bacterium. Its description in RNAcentral is "bacterial SSU rRNA". It matches the Rfam family "Bacterial small subunit ribosomal RNA", at positions 8 to 645 of the family's 1533-position model. The record is from RNAcentral. Lineage: Bacteria; Pseudomonadati; Pseudomonadota; Alphaproteobacteria.